GUCUAUGGCCAUGCUAUCUUGAGUAAGCCUGAUCCCAUCUGAUCUUGGAAGAUAAGCAGGGUCGGGCCUGCUUAGUACUUGGAUGGGAGACUACCUAGGAAGACCAGGUGCUGUAGGUG
This 119-nucleotide ribosomal RNA is filed under the name Pteropus alecto (black flying fox). The record is from RNAcentral. Lineage: Eukaryota; Metazoa; Chordata; Mammalia; Chiroptera; Pteropodidae.